CAGAGAACAUGAAACAAUGAGUGUUACCAUACACACUGUAAGGAGAGUGAUCAGACUAACACGGCUGCUACUCUGAAACCUGUCAGAAUCUAAUGUAACUAUUAACGCCCCUCGGAGAGCUCAUGGGCAAUUACUUUACAGGACAGUCCAGAAUUCUGCACGGACAACUGGCAACCAGCACAAGGGGCUGAGAACCCUGUGUGUGGGUAACACCUUGCAGACUUCAGAGACAGAAGGUGGACACAUCUGGGGCACAGCUGUUUCCACAUCCACGUGGCUUUGAUCUGCUUCCAGGUUUGUGUCAAGGUGAAGCCAAAUCUGGGACGCAGCUGCUUCCACGUCCAGCUGAGCUUGAGCCUUCAGGAAAGAAGCCCCUGAUGCAGUGGGCAGUUUAGUGUUCUGCAAACACGUACAAGUCACGGCAACCCAUUGGAGAACACCCUUCCUCCCAAGGGAUCCCAAAGCACUUCACAAACAUGGAAAUAUAAACGCCUCUGGGAUACAAGAUGGCAACCAGCCAGCUCACUGCACAGCCGCAGGGGAACGGAAAGUUUGAAGUUGACAACACUGAGGCAGAGUUUAUGGGUUCUUAGUCCAGGACUAGGAGCCAGCAGCUCCUGGUCCUAAUCCUGGCUCUGACAUCAUCUCUUACUGCAGCUAUGGGCAGUCACUUCUCAUCUGGCAAAUGGGAAUAAUGUUACUGACCUGCCACCCAGGGGAUUAGUUUGAUUACACUAGUGCCCUAAUUUAGCUAGGUGGUGUACAAUCCCUGUCUUGAAGAGCUUAUGUUCUAAAGGUUAUUGUCAAUCAAAAUACUAUAGCCCCAGCUGAUAAUGGAUAUGCUGUGUACUUGUGUAGAGGAUAUGCCCCUUAAACGAAUGCAAGCCAGGAAAGGCUGAGUUAAGGCAGUAUGGAUCUGAUCUCACUUUCAGUUACUUCAGUUGGCUUUGGAGCAGGCCCCAAAUGAACUUGGCGUGCAGGUAUAUUCUCUAGGGGUUAGGACUCCCGGGUUCUAUUCCCGAUCCUUCCACUUACUCCGUGUAUUAUUCUCUGUUUCCCGUGCUAUAAAAUGGAGACGAUGCUUUCCGAGUUCUCCAGGAGGAUGGGAAGUUGAAAUGUGUGAAAAGCACACAGAUUUUUAGAUGGAAGGUGCUAAAAACAAGGGGAGUACCGCCUUUUCCUGGAACACCUGCAUCGCUCAAUACACAGUGUGUCAGGCUGAACUCAUUUGCCGCUGAAGCCCUGCCGUGUCUGGUUUUUGUGGGUUUGUUUCAGGCUCUGGACAUUUAGUUAAUGCAGAGCUCUGUGGCUGAAUACUGAAGAAUGCUUUACCUUCAGUGACUACGUCUGGAGACCAGCCUUACCAGAAUCAAUAGAAAACCUGCAGUGCCCAGGGUGUAAGGGAAAUGAGCUUUGAUGUGUGACUAGAACUGGAAUCUUUGUUCCGCUCUAAUGACAUCUGACAGCACUUAGGCCAACUGAAGCCAUCUCCGGAUUCUCUAGGAACACUCUGACGGGGGGCUGGGUUUGUUUGAUAAGAUCCGUGCACAGCACAGGUAUUUCAAGCCUGUGUGGCUAGUAAAUUAGGCUCCCCUACCUUCCCUUGGGGCACAGUCCUGCUGCUAUUGCAUUCACUGGCAAAAUUCCAGUUCACUCUCAUGGGUGUAUGAUUGGGCCCUAGUAGAGCAGCAUUUGCUCCUCCCUCCCCCACCAUAAGUUAUGCAUGUUUAAUUUGCAGUGGAGCUGGGAUGUUCCAAACCACAUUAUUUCAAUAGCAGCCUGAGUCUCACUGCAGGUUAGAGUUUACCACAAUUGAAUGGAAGGAUCUGGCUGAGACAGCCAAGGUCAAGGCAAGGUUGCCCCUAGAAUUGAGUAAGUGGCAGCUUUGGAUUUUUAUUGGGAGGUUUUUGUGUUCUUUUUUUCUCUCUUAUCUACUCCUAUCCAUGCCCUCAACUGAAACAUCAGAUACUGCAGCUCAGUAGAGUUUGGUUAGUUAAUUGCUUGGUGUGGAGUUGGAAGUUAGCUAGAGAAGCCAUGCAAAAAGCUAGUUACAAUCCAGAUACCUUUAAAAAUAAAAUUUAAAAGAGUGUAAUCAACUUGUAGGAAACAGUGGGAAACAAGCUAUCUAGGAUGACAACUGAAUGCUAUUUUAUUUAACAUGGACAAAUGUACUGCGAACCAAGUAAUGUAAAGAAUUUCAUAUGCCUGUUAUUUCCUGUUACAGUGUCUGGAACGCCAUUUACCAUUACCGUAAUUUGAAAUUAAUAAAACAGAUCCAUUCUGUCCCAUCUGGAAGGGG
This is a long non-coding RNA of Dermochelys coriacea (leatherback sea turtle), 2299 nucleotides long. RefSeq lists it as uncharacterized. The record is from RefSeq and is a predicted model, not a curated record. Lineage: Eukaryota; Metazoa; Chordata; Testudines; Dermochelyidae. The transcript has 2 exons.